GCAGUCGAGCGGUAGCACAGAGAGCUUGCUCUCGGGUGACGAGCGGCGGACGGGUGAGUAAUGUCUGGGAAACUGCCUGAUGGAGGGGGAUAACUACUGGAAACGGUAGCUAAUACCGCAUAACGUCGCAAGACCAAAGUGGGGGACCUUCGGGCCUCAUGCCAUCAGAUGUGCCCAGAUGGGAUUAGCUAGUAGGUGGGGUAACGGCUCACCUAGGCGACGAUCCCUAGCUGGUCUGAGAGGAUGACCAGCCACACUGGAACUGAGACACGGUCCAGACUCCUACGGGAGGCAGCAGUGGGGAAUAUUGCACAAUGGGCGCAAGCCUGAUGCAGCCAUGCCGCGUGUGUGAAGAAGGCCUUCGGGUUGUAAAGCACUUUCAGCGGGGAGGAAGGCGAUAAGGUUAAUAACCUUGUCGAUUGACGUUACCCGCAGAAGAAGCACCGGCUAACUCCGUGCCAGCAGCCGCGGUAAUACGGAGGGUGCAAGCGUUAAUCGGAAUUACUGGGCGUAAAGCGCACGCAGGCGGUCUGUCAAGUCGGAUGUGAAAUCCCCGGGCUCAACCUGGGAACUGCAUUCGAAACUGGCAGGCUAGAGUCUUGUAGAGGGGGGGUAGAAUUCCAGGUGUAGCGGUGAAAUGCGUAGAGAUCUGGAGGAAUACCGGUGGCGAAGGCGGCCCCCUGGACAAAGACUGACGCUCAGGUGCGAAAGCGUGGGGAGCAAACAGGAUUAGAUACCCUGGUAGUCCACGCCGUAAACGAUGUCGAUUUGGAGGUUGUGCCCUUGAGGCGUGGCUUCCGGAGCUAACGCGUUAAAUCGACCGCCUGGGGAGUACGGCCGCAAGGUUAAAACUCAAAUGAAUUGACGGGGGCCCGCACAAGCGGUGGAGCAUGUGGUUUAAUUCGAUGCAACGCGAAGAACCUUACCUGGUCUUGACAUCCACAGAACUU
Molecule: ribosomal RNA, 950 nt
Filed under: Klebsiella pneumoniae
Lineage: Bacteria; Pseudomonadati; Pseudomonadota; Gammaproteobacteria; Enterobacterales; Enterobacteriaceae
Description: bacterial SSU rRNA
Rfam family: Bacterial small subunit ribosomal RNA
Source: RNAcentral